GCACAAGCGGUGGAGCAUGUGGUUUAAUUCGAAGCAACGCGAAGAACCUUACCAGGUCUUGACAUACUCGUGCUAUCCUUAGAGAUAAGGAGUUCCUUCGGGACACGGGAUACAGGUGGUGCAUGGUUGUCGUCAGCUCGUGUCGUGAGAUGUUGGGUUAAGUCCCGCAACGAACGCAACCCUUAUUACUAGUUGCCAUCAUUAAGUUGGGCACUCUAGUGAGACUGCCGGUGAUAAACCGGAGGAAGGUGGGGAUGACGUCAAAUCAUCAUGCCCCUUAUGACCUGGGCUACACACGUGCUACAAUGGAUGGUACAACGAGUCGCCAACCCGCGAGGGUGCGCUAAUCUCUUAAAACCAUUCUCAGUUCGGAUUGCAGGCUGCAACUCGCCUGCAUGAAGUCGGAAUCGCUAGUAAUCGCGGAUCAGCACGCCGCGGUGAAUACGUUCCCGGGCCUUGUACACACCGCCCGUCACACCACGGAAGUUGGGAGUACCCAAAGUAGGUUGCCUAACCGCAAGGAGGGCGCUUCCUAAGGUAAGACCGAUGACUGGGGUGAAGUCGUAACAAGGUAACCAAGGGCGAAUUCGCGG
RNAcentral lists this ribosomal RNA (593 nucleotides) under uncultured bacterium. RNAcentral's name for it is "bacterial SSU rRNA". It matches the Rfam family "Bacterial small subunit ribosomal RNA", at positions 923 to 1517 of the family's 1533-position model. The record is from RNAcentral.